AGCUGCACAUGCCAAACUUUUUGGUGCCCGUCUCCAUACAUCGCCGCAUCAUGAGACGGUAACGAGGCUCAAAGAUGUGCAGCGGACAUGGGAUGCCAGGUUCAUCAUCAUCCUCAGCCGUGGGGAGGAAGGACACAGCCUGACACAGGCUCAGACAGCACUCGCCGCUGGUGCCGUGCUUCACUUUAGUUGCAUUCUAGGACGGAACAGGAAAGACCUGAGAUGUUAUUACACAACAUCAUUAGUGCUGUGCAUAAACACCUCACCUGCGCGGGAUCACUUUGACCUUCAGCGUUGUUGUGGGCAUAGCGCUGACCAUCUGGACAUGAGGGGCUAACAGAGCUGGUGAUAGGACAGGGCUCUUGCAAGUACUCUGACACAACAUGCAGGAUCCGUGGAACUUCUUCUGGUACAGCCAUGCCCUCUGCUUCCAGGAUCUGUAUACAAAUCAGUGUGUGUAUCAAUGAAACAUUCAUUUAUGUUUUUAAGCAGAACAUGCUCUCUUGACACUGAAUCACUCAAAAUGAUUCUAUAAGGGGCAAAAUCAGGAUGCUGCUUCAGGCAAUGAUAAAACUGGAUGAGGGCUUCGGUCUGUCUGCCCAUUUCAAGAAGUACAUUCCCUUUACGAAAGAAACCCUACAAAACAGAAUUCAAACACAAAUUGUUAUCACAGG
Long non-coding RNA from Cyprinus carpio (common carp), 674 nucleotides. RefSeq lists it as uncharacterized. The transcript is spliced from 4 exons. NCBI's taxonomy places the organism in Eukaryota, Metazoa, Chordata, Actinopteri, Cypriniformes, Cyprinidae. The record is from RefSeq and is a predicted model, not a curated record.